UACGUAGGUGUCGAGCGUUGUCCGGAUUUACUGGGCGUAAAGCGCCCGCAGGCGGCUUGGCAAGUUCGAGGUGAAAUCUCCCGGCUCAACUGGGAGGGUGCCUCGGAAACUGCCAGGCUUGAGGCAGGGAGAGGGAUGUGGAAUUCCCGGUGUAGUGGUGAAAUGCGUAGAUAUCUGGAGGAACACCGGUGGCGAAGGCAGCGUCCUGGACCAACACUGACACUGAUGAGCGAAAGCCAGGGGAGCAAACGGG
Molecule: ribosomal RNA, 253 nt
Filed under: uncultured bacterium
Lineage: Bacteria
Description: partial 16S ribosomal RNA
Rfam family: Bacterial small subunit ribosomal RNA
Source: RNAcentral